UCGGGCGGUUAUUUUUGGGGGCGGCUUUGCCCGCGGCCUAUUUUUGGCACACGGAGGCCCCUCGCAAAGUCUCGCGUUAUUCCGAGUCCGGCGGACACAGUUGGCCAGCCCCACCCCCCAAGGCUAUAGCCCACCCGUUUUUGUGGUCUUUUUCCGCUCGACGAACUUGGCGCCCCGGAACUUGCUGCUACUACCAAUCUAUAAAAUGCACUACAAAAUUUUAUCACUAGAUAACAUAAAAUUUUGAACCACGAACCUUUUAAACAUCCCACGGCCUAUUUUUGGCACACCGAGGCCCCUCGCAAAGUCUCGCGGCAUUCCGAGUCCGGCGGACGAUGUUGGCCAGCCCCACCCCCCAAGGCUAUAGCCCACCCGUAUUUAUGGCCUUUUUCCGCUGGGAGAACUUGGCGCCCCGGCCGUCGGGCGGUUAUUUUUUGGCGCAGCUUUGCCCACAGCCUAUUUUUGGCACACGUAGGCCCCUCGCAAAGUCUCGCGGCAUUCCGAGUCCGGCGAACGAAGUUAGCCAGCCCCACCCCCCAAGGCUAUAGCCCACCCGUUUUUGUGGCCUUUUUCCGCUGGACGAACUUGGCGCCCCGGCCUUCGGGCGGUUAGUUUUGGGUACGGCUUUGCCCGCAGCCUAUUUUUGGCACACGGAGGGCCCUUGCAAUGUCUCGCGGCAUUCCGAGUCCGGCGGACGAAGUUGGCCAGCCCCACCCCCCAAGGCUAUAGCCCACCCGUUUUUGUGGCCUUUUUCCGCUGGACGAACUUGGCGCCCCGGCGUUCGGGCGGUUUUUUUUUGGUGCGGCUUUGCCCGUAGCCUAUUUUUGGCACACGGAGGCCCCUCGUAAAGUCUCGCACCAUUCCGAGUCCGGCGGACGAAGUUGGCCAGCACCACCCCCCAAGGCUAUAGCCCACCCGUUUUUGUGGCCUUUUUCCGCUGGACGAACUUGGCGCCCAGGCCUUCGGGCGGUUAUGUUUGGGCGCGGCUUUGCCAGUGGCCUAUUUUUGGCACACGGAGGCCCCUCGCAAUGUCUCGCGGCAAUCCGAGUCCGGCGGACGAAGUUGGCCAGCAUCACCCCCCAACGCUAUAGCCCACCCGUUUUUGUGGCCUUUUUCCGCUGGACGAACUUGGCGCCCCGGCCUUCGGGCGGUUAGUUUUGGGUGCGGCUUUGCCCGCAGCCUAUUUUUGGCACACGGAGGGGCCUUGCAAUGUCUCGCGGCAUUCCAAGUCCGGCGGACGAAGUC
This 1245-nucleotide long non-coding RNA is filed under the name Citrus x clementina. RNAcentral describes it as "Citrus clementina (C. clementina) long non-coding RNA (CCLE_LNC005006)". The record is from RNAcentral. Lineage: Eukaryota; Viridiplantae; Streptophyta; Magnoliopsida; Sapindales; Rutaceae.